UACGAAGGGGGCGAGCGUUGUUCGGAUUUACUGGGCGUAAAGGGCGCGCAGGCGGCGAGUUUUGUCAGGCGUGAAAGCCCCGGGCUCAACCUGGGAACUGCGCUUGAAACGGGCUUGCUGGAGACCGGGAGAGGAGAGUGGAAUUCCCAGUGUAGAGGUGAAAUUCGUAGAUAUUGGGAAGAACACCGGUGGCGAAGGCGGCUCUCUGGACCGGAUCUGACGCUGAGGCGCGAAAGCGUGGGGAGCAAACAGG
Molecule: ribosomal RNA, 253 nt
Filed under: uncultured bacterium
Lineage: Bacteria
Description: partial 16S ribosomal RNA
Rfam family: Bacterial small subunit ribosomal RNA
Source: RNAcentral